RNAcentral lists this ribosomal RNA (970 nucleotides) under uncultured organism. RNAcentral's name for it is "bacterial SSU rRNA". It matches the Rfam family "Bacterial small subunit ribosomal RNA", at positions 528 to 1487 of the family's 1533-position model. The record is from RNAcentral.
GAAGCCCCGAGCGUUGUCGGAAUCAUUGGGCGUAAAGGGUGCGUAGGCGGCGCGGAAAGUCCGGCGUGAAAGGCAGGGGCUCAACCUCUGGACUGCGUUGGAUACUUCCGUGCUUGAGGACUGGAGGGGAGACUGGAAUUCACGGUGUAGCAGUGAAAUGCGUAGAUAUCGUGAGGAAGACCGGUGGCGAAGGCGAGUCUCUGGACAGAUCCUGACGCUGAGGCACGAAGGCUGGGGGAGCGAACAGGAUUAGAUACCCUGGUAGUCCCAGCAGUAAACGAUGUGAGCUUGAUGUGGGGGGAUUCGACCCCUUCCGUGUCGAAGCUAACGCGAUAAGCUCACCGCCUGAGGAGUACGGCCGCAAGGCUAAAACUCAAAGAAAUUGACGGGGACCCGCACAAGCGGUGGAGUAUGUGGCUUAAUUCGAUGCAACGCGAAGAACCUUACCUGGCCUUGACAUGCAUUGUGUCGUCGGUGAAAGCCGGCUAGUCCUGGAAACAGGACGCUUUGCACAGGUGCUGCAUGGCUGUCGUCAGCUCGUGUCGUGAGAUGUUGGGUUAAGUCCCGCAACGAGCGCAACCCUUGUGGUCAGUUACUAACCGGCUUAGCCGGAGGACUCUGGCCAGACUGCCCUGUCAAACGGGGAGGAAGGUGGGGACGACGUCAAGUCAGUAUGGCCCUUAUGGCCAGGGCUGCACACGUACUACAAUGCCCGGUACAAUGUGAACCGAAACCGCGAGGUGGAGGAAAUCGCUCUUGAAAACCGGGCCCAGUUCGGAUUGGAGUCUGCAACUCGACUCCAUGAAGUCGGAAUCGCUAGUAAUGGCGUAUCAGCAACGACGCCGUGAAUACGUUCCCGGGUCUUGUACACACCGCCCGUCACAUCAUGGAAGUCUCCUGUACCCGAAGCACGUGCGCCAACCUUUCAGGAGGCAGCGUUCGAAGGUAUGGGAGUAACUGGGAUGAAGUC